AUUGAACGCUGGCGGCGGGCCUAACACAUGCAAGUCGAGCGGAUGAAGGGUGCUUGCUCCUGGAUUCAGCGGCGGACGGGUGAGUAAUGCCUAGGAAUCUGCCUGGCAGUGGGGGAUAACGUCUGGAAACGGGUGCUAAUACCGCAUACGUCCUGAGGGUGAAAGUGGGGGAGCUUCGGACCUCAUGCUCUCAGAUGAGCCUAGGUCGGAGUAGCUAGUUGGUGGGGUAAAGGCCUACCAAGGCGACGAUCCGUAACUGGACGGAUAGAGUGGUCAGUCACACGGGAAGGGAGACGCGGACCAGACUCCUGCGGUACGCAGCAGUGUGGAAUAUUAGGCAAUGGGCGAGAGUAUUAUCCAACCAGGCCGCGUGUGUGAAGGAGGUCUUCCGAGUGUAAAGCCGGUUUAGUGGGGAGAAAGGGCAGUAAGUUGAGACCUAGCUGUUGUGACGGUAACAACAGAAGAAGCACCGGCUAACUACGUG
This 484-nucleotide ribosomal RNA is filed under the name uncultured bacterium. RNAcentral describes it as "partial 16S ribosomal RNA". It matches the Rfam family "Bacterial small subunit ribosomal RNA", at positions 29 to 507 of the family's 1533-position model. The record is from RNAcentral.